This 416-nucleotide long non-coding RNA is filed under the name Mus musculus (house mouse). Its description in RNAcentral is "predicted gene, 19705, transcript variant 2 (Gm19705)". The record is from RNAcentral. Lineage: Eukaryota; Metazoa; Chordata; Mammalia; Rodentia; Muridae.
GUGUGUGCCCAGCUGCGGGGCUCAGGUACAGAUGGUCCAGUGUGCGCUGGGAGGACCCGAGGAACGGCCCAGCAGAUGUGGAAACUCAGAGAGGAUGCCACUGUUUUGAACUAUUUUGAAGGCACAGCCACCAGAGCUUUAGGGACAGGGUAUUUUAUCACAGCAACAGAAAUGAAACCAAAACAACUCCACAAUAAAAUUCUUGAGUUUCUUGGGGCCAAGAAGAUGACACGAUAAGAUAAAGACACUGGCCAAGCAUGACCUCCAGAGUUUGGCCCUUGCAUAAAGGAGAAAAUUAAUUCCUUCAGUUGUUCUCUGACCUCCACAUGCGUCCUGUAACAUGGGUGUAUGCAUACACAUAAACACACAUCCACACGUUGUUAAAUAAAUAAAAAAAAUAUGUUAACAGUUAAAAA